RNAcentral lists this long non-coding RNA (2929 nucleotides) under Sus scrofa (pig). RNAcentral's name for it is "lncRNA (ENSSSCG00050074860.1)". Lineage: Eukaryota; Metazoa; Chordata; Mammalia; Artiodactyla; Suidae. The record is from RNAcentral.
ACACAUGAGUCUUCACAAGGCUGCACAAGAUCACAGUCUUGUCAGGAGGAGAAACUGAGGCUCUGGUUUAGGAGCUGCCCUCGAAUCACCAUGGAGCAGGACCGAGCGUGGGCUGCCCGCCCCUCCGCCCAGCCACCCGGCUUCUAAAUCUGGGUCUUUUCCCGCGUCUGAUCCAGAGAGGAGGGAAGGAUGUACCAAGACAGGGUCUUUGGACAGACAGCCGUUUCAAUAGCUCCUCCUUAGAGCUGGGGUGGGAAUGCCUCUCCCCCCACAUGCCUUCAGCCUAUUGGUGAGCGGGGAGCUGGAGCAAGUGUGAGGAUGUAGCAGGUUUAGAAGGAAAUAGCUUAAUCCUUGCGUGGGAUGGAGGAGGCAGGAAGGAGGGAGAUGUGAACCUGAGACCCGGGGCGUGUGACUGCGCCGUGGAAGCCUAAGGGUGUGAUGACCCUGCUGCCUGCCUCUCUCAGGGGGAUCGCCUUUGCUAACUGUGGGGGGCAGGGCGUAGUGCCCUAAUGGGGGACAGGGCCUCCCGGUGGGGGCUGACCCCUCUGAUUUUGUCCCCCCACUCGGAAGCCACCACCCUUGUCGUUUGCCCUCUGAGAGUCCUCCUCCCUCGGGCCGCCCCCUGCCCUCUGUCCCUGGGGCCGUGACAUUGACAGGGUGCCCAGCGGGGCGAAGACGGCAGCUGCAGGUCCUGGUCCCCAGUACGUGUGUGAGUGUGAAUGCGAGUGGGUUGGGAUGGGGGAGCGGCGGGGCUGGGAUCAUCCGCAGAUCAGAGCUCGGGAGUAGAGAGUUUCUAGCGGGUGGGGCCGCCCUACACGCUGGAGCCCGAGGACCUGCCCCUGGGACCACCACCAGCCUCAACACCCCUGGAGGCCAGAGCACGUCGGACAGGCACUGACCAGAGGAGCCUGGGAGGAGCUGCGGGGGUGAGUGAAACUUGGGACGGACUGGGUGUGCCUGGGCUGGGCGAGAUGGGGAGAAGCCAGGGAUGGAAAAGAGCUGCAGGUGGAGCAAGAAGAGGAGGGAAACGGGAGAGCAUCCUGCCUCAGCCCUUGUUGCUGCACAGUAGCCACGCCCCUUUCCCGGGCCCUGCCACCAGGGGGCGCUGCGGGGGGGGGAGCUGCCAAGCGGAGCCGCAAAGGGGUGAGAUGGAGGCAGAGUUACGGCCUUGUGGGCCCCAAAGGGGACGGUGGAUGGUCGCCCCGUGUCCAGCGGCAGGACAGUGGGGCCCCCAGCCCAGGGUCCGGGUUUCUAGACCCUCCGCUCCUGCUGUGGGGGAGGGAGGAGCAGGCAGAGGGAGCUGAUCUGCCCAAGACCGCAGUGUGGCCUUUACCCCUGGGUGCCCACCAUGGCCCAGGCCCUGGAGAAGCUCUGGAGUAAAUACCUGUGGGCCUUAGAAAAGGGAGGUAGGAGGUGGUGUCACCUGAUAGUGGCUUUCCUUUGUCUAUUCCACCAGACAGAUGCCCGUCGUUUGGAGCAAGAGGAGAUGGUGAUCAGCAGAGCCCCGGGAGCUGCCAGGGAGGGCCGGGUGGCAGGUGGGCCUGGUGGCCAGCUCCACUGCCCCCUUUCUUCUUGCUUUGCCAGACCCGAGGACCCAUUCCUGGUUCCUGGUACACUCGCUGCUGCCUGUCACCCUCCUCUGGGCCUUCGACCUCCUCCUGGUGGUGGAGGGCCCCCGUCUCAUGUCCCAUGAGGAGCCUUUGAGGCUGGCAGGACCCCUGGCUGCCUACAACCUGGGCCUGAUGGUUCUCUCGGGGCACGUGUUCUAUGAGUUCAUGGCCACCUCGCUCCUGGCCAGCUACAGCUGCUUCUGCCAGCCGGUGAACUACAGCUGGAGUGAGCUGGGGUUAAGGAUGGCGAGCGUGUGCUGAUGGUGCUUCUCAAAGGCCAUUGAAAUACUGGUCGCAGGGAGUAAUUCACAGUGGGUGGUCAUCUUCCUAUCACGAAAGGAGUCAGAGCAGAUGAUCUUCCUGCACAUCUACCACCACAGCACCAUGCUCUUCAGAUAGUGGGCUGGGGUCAAAUAUGUGCCAGGGGUCAAGGGUCAGUGUGUGACCAUUGCUGCCUACUCCUCCUGCAGUCUCUUUGCCAAAGAGUGUCCGUUCCCUGGCAGGCUCAAUGUGACCAUUCUCCUGUUCACCCUCAGUCUCAUCAGCCUUUCCCUUAACUUCUACCACCAGACAUACCUGAGAGGCAAGUGGGAGAAGCUGACCUACAAGGUGGGGCUGAGGACUGAAACUAGCAGAGCCCUCCCCAUGGAGAGUUUGGCGAAAGAUGAUACGGCCCACAGCCCACCCGUGCUGAGCAGAUUCCUCUGGGCAAGUAUUUCAUCCUAUGAGGAAAGGACAAUAACAAUUCUCGCCGCCUUCCCAGAGUUCAGGAGGACAGAACUGGACCCAGCUUCCUGAACGCACAUCUCAUGUGGAUUCGUCACUAUUUGCACACCUCCUUCCUCUACUAAACGUGAGUCCUUCUGAGGAGGGACUGCACUCUCAGUGGUCCCCACCCCUGGCACAGUAUCUCAAUAAAUGUGCAUUUAGACCCCUAUAUUCCCCCAUGGACAGUCAGGGCUGGGAGCAGGGUUGGGAGCAUGGAGGAAGGCAAGGCUGGUUUGAUCUUCCCCUUGCAGGCAGAGAGGAUGGCUGAGAAUAUCUAAUCUAAGGAGUGUGGGUCUGUGUGAUUUCUCUUGGGGCUAUGCCAACAGUUCCCCUGCACAUCUUUCUGUCUGUUCACUAUUACCUAAGGUGCAUUUACACAGUUGUAUGAUUCUGUGUGUAUGGGGCAGCAGAAAGGGCUACUCAUACAUGUCCAAAUACUUGCUUUUGAAUACACGUGUGUUUCCAUUUAUGAUUUUCUCUGUUGGUGUUUUUUGUUUGUCUCUUCUGUAAAUCUUGGAAAGUGCCAUGCUAGCCAAAUAAAAGCUGCUGGG